UACGGGGGGAGCAAGCGUUGUUCGGAUUUACUGGGCGUAAAGGGCGCGUAGGCGGUCAGCACAAGUCAGUUGUGAAAUCUCCGGGCUUAACUCGGAAAGGUCAACUGAAACUGUGCGACUAGAGUGCGGAAGGGGCAACUGGAAUUCUCGGUGUAGCGGUGAAAUGCGUAGAUAUCGAGAGGAACACCUGCGGCGAAGGCGGGUUGCUGGGCCGACACUGACGCUGAUGCGCGAAAGCGUGGGGGAGCAAACAGG
RNAcentral lists this ribosomal RNA (255 nucleotides) under uncultured bacterium. RNAcentral's name for it is "partial 16S ribosomal RNA". It matches the Rfam family "Bacterial small subunit ribosomal RNA", at positions 524 to 776 of the family's 1533-position model. The record is from RNAcentral.